AUACGGAGGGUCCAAGCGUUAUCCGGAUUUAUUGGGUUUAAAGGGUGCGUAGGCGGUUAGAUAAGUUAGAGGUGAAAUACCGGUGCUUAACACCGGAACUGCCUCUAAUACUGUUUAGCUAGAGAAUAGUUGCGGUAGGCGGAAUGUAUGGUGUAGCGGUGAAAUGCUUAGAGAUCAUACAGAACACCGAUUGCGAAGGCAGCUUACCAAGCUAUUUCUGACGUUGAGGCACGAAAGCGUGGGGAGC
RNAcentral lists this ribosomal RNA (247 nucleotides) under uncultured bacterium. Its description in RNAcentral is "partial 16S ribosomal RNA". It matches the Rfam family "Bacterial small subunit ribosomal RNA", at positions 523 to 769 of the family's 1533-position model. The record is from RNAcentral.